This 94-nucleotide small nucleolar RNA is filed under the name Ophiocordyceps sinensis. RNAcentral's name for it is "A. fumigatus snoRNA Afu_190". It matches the Rfam family "A. fumigatus snoRNA Afu_190". Lineage: Eukaryota; Fungi; Ascomycota; Sordariomycetes; Hypocreales; Ophiocordycipitaceae. The record is from Rfam by way of RNAcentral. RNAcentral also lists the same sequence under 1 other name.
CCAUGAUGAGACUCCAGCUGGCACCAGUCAUAGAGUGACUUGUACUCCCUUUCCUUGAUGACCAAAUUGCUGUGGUCCUUAGACCUCCUCUGAC